GAAGUCAGUACAAACUACAAUUUCACACAGACAAUGAGUUGUUUAUACUGCUCUAUAUACAAUACACUGACAUGUAAGUACAAUAUUUAUAUUCCAAUGGAUUCAUUUUAUAAUUAUGUGGUAAAAAUGAAGAAAGUCAGCUAUUUUUCAGUAGUAGUGAGCUGUGACACUUUUGUAUUUUUAUGUCUGAUUUUGUAAGCAAGUAGUUUUUAAGUGAGGUGAAACUUGGGGAUACACAAGACAAAUCUGACUCUUGAAAGGGGUACAGCAGUCUGGAAAGGUUGAGAGCCAAUGGGCCAGUCCAUAAUAGGGCUCCCUCUAGAUAUCUUGUUUGGACGUUUGUUUGUUUGUUUGUUUGUUUGUUGAUUGAUUGUGCCUUAUCCUGUUGUCGCCAAAGCAUCCACAAGAACAUGGCUUUUCACUGUGGCUUAACUGAGGUUUGAGUCCUGGGGAGCUGCACAAAAGCUCCUGCUCCCAGGUUUGGUUUUACUGUAUAAUUCCUUUCAGUUUCCAGAGAUUAUGGGCAUCUCCAUCUCUUUGCUGAGAUCUGGCAGCAGCUAAUGGAAGCUGGAGGUUUACUGCUGUCACGGCUUAUGCUGGCCCAGAUUCAGAGUUUGUUGGAAACAGAUAACCAGGCAGGCCCAAGAGUAACUGCUGCUGUCGCUGUGCAGCCCCUUGCAGCAAUCUCUCAUGCUGUCUAGCCAGGUAUCGCCCUUUAAGGGAGCUGUGAAUCUGGAACAUCAUGGAAAUCUCUCACAGUCAGGCUCUGCCCGCGGGAAUGACGCAGUUCCCACUCAUGCAGCAUAUCCAGAAUGCUGCCUUCCUAGGAUCCCUCUCCAGGGGGUGACGAGCCAUCUGUCUCCUGCUAUCAGACCCAGGAGGCACAGGAGGCUGUCUGACAAACACAUUGCAAACCCGAGCAAAGUUGGCGCGGUUGUGGGUACCUCCAGCUAACCCGUGAAUGCCUGUGAAGCAAAAUCAACACCAUUCCAGUGGCCAACGGGUACCAAGGAGAAAGGUGCUGGCUACUACUGGAGCUGGGUUACCAGUCUGGAGGCGUCUGAUGGGGGAUGGCAAAUAUUAUGUUCUUUUAAGUACACAGACAUACAUUAAUAACUCGUCUGUGCCCUCACACAGGGAAAGCCCAGGCUUAAAGGGAAAUGGCCACAAUAAAAACGUUGCUAAUAACAGCUCUGAUUAGUAAAAAUGGAAGGAAUUUAAAUAAAUGAACAUACUUUUCUCCUGGUGCACUCAUACGUUACGUUUGUACUUCACUUACAGGAGACUGAUCAGUUUCACUUCCUAUUCACUGUCCAUUUCUGAGUCACAUGCACUAGCCGAGCUGUCAGCUUCUGCAGGGGGAUGCGGACAGAAAAGAAGGGUUGGUUUUCAGGACAUUUUGAAAACAAUAAAAAUAUUUCUCUUCAUUUUGUUAGGUUUCGGAAUUAAGCAGCUGACGUGUGCUGGGACCUUUGAUGAAGGGCUAUAUAAGUAAUGAGCAUUUCUGGCAUCAUUUAGUGUAAAUUCCUUUCCUACAACACCAAACAUCUGGGCCUAGACUUGAACCUCUGUGAGAGAGGGACUGUAUGUUCUGUGUUUGUGCAGCACCUGGCCCAAUGGGGUGCUGGUCUGGGACUGGGGCUCUAGAUGCUACCACAAUAAAUAAUUACAAUACCAAUACUUGACAAUGUCCCUUUCAAUAGAAUGGCUGAUUCUAGCUCAGUCCCCUGUGCUCUGGCUUGCUAGCUAUUGUGCCUGAGAGGUGUUUGGACAACACCUGGGUCUACUGCAAUACAAAUGAUAAGUUUAUGGCUAACACUUUGUUACAGCAACUCGGAAAUGUGGGUGACUAUGUAAUACAUUGUGACUAUGUAAUACACUGGUUUAGUGUAUUCAAUCAUAUUUUCUUCCACUGGCUGGCUUCGGUAAGGAUAUGACCUGGCUGCUCACUGAUCUUGAGUGGAGUGGAGCCCAUAAAUCACAUGCUACAGGCUUAUACUUUUGGUGCUAAAAGGUUCUGGAUUCAGUUUCCGCACAUCUGUAUGUAUACAACCCAGGUGGGGCUUGGACCCCAAUACACAGCAGAGAGUCCCCACUAGCAUAUCACAUAGGGAGAGUAUGUAGUGUCCGUGCUAAGAGUAUGUGACUGUGUUUCCCUCGAGUGCAGCGGUUUUCAAACUUUCUGAGCUGAGCCCCCACUUUGAGUUACAAUUUGGGGUUGCACUCCCCAAACCAAGACAAAAAUAGACACAUGCCGAAGUAUCCUUGAUGGACGGUUCACAAACCUAGCGGAGACCUUAGCCCAGCUUUAAUUACAUUACCUACACCUGGACGUUUCAAAUACACAGAUAGUGACCAGUGGGUUUUCAGGUGGGGGAAGGCAUGUGCGACGGUCUCUGGGGGUGGAGCCAGCGCUGGGUGCAGAGGCUGCUGGGAGCGGAAAUCAGUGCAGCUGCAGCAGAUGUUGACCCUGACCCACAGGCUGGGUGGCCCACUAAGGUGAGUCAGGGUGGAGGUGGCGCUCCCUCCCAGCCCCCCAUGGAGGCUGGCUCAAGCUGCCUGGCAUCACCAUUCGCCCCCCUGCCCAAACAUUCCUCCACAUCCCCUGAAGGGGUGCAUCUCACAGUUUGAAAACCUCUGUGCUAGCCAUUAGUUUGAGCCAGGAUACAAGCCAGCUACAGACUGGAUGCCAAGAAAGUUGCUCCAUUAGUUCAAAGUGACUUGUACUUUUAGUGCUGCAGAUCCCAGAUUCAAGCCCUGCUAUCACCCAGGGCUCAAAUUGGGGGCGGGGGAGGGAUAGCUCAGUGAUUUGAGCAUUGGCCUGCUAAACCCAGGGUUGUGAGUUCAAUCCUUGAGGGGGCCAUUUGGGAUCUGGGGCAAAACUUGGGGAUUGGUCCUGCUUUGAGCAGGGGGUUGGACUAGAUGACCUCCUGAGGUCCCUUCCAACUCUGAUAUUCUAUGAUUCAUUGUGCCGGUCACAACUGGGGUCUGUUACAACAUAUUGAUUUUUAAUGUUUUUUCUCUUGCCACAAUAGCUGCAGAUCAAAGCUCUAGGCCAAAAAAAAGCCUAGCAAAGGGCUGGCUAAAAACUGGCAUGUGACGAGUCUAUUUCUAUACACCGCCUCGGACUGGCUUCACGGGGUUGGCAACUUCGGCAGAGUUAAUCAGUCAGACUGCACAUGUAAAUGAGCACAUCCCAAGUUAGAUAUGUUCAGUGCAGGCUUCACUUCGCCUCUGAUGAGUCAGAACCAGACUGCCGAAGACUACCACUGCAGCAGGGCAUGCAAUAGGCCGGGACUGCCCUGUAAGGUACUAACCCAAAGACAGAGUGCCUGUAACCACUGGAGAGUAGCCUGUCUUUGCACCUGCUAGCAUGGCUUGUUGCUAUUCAAGUACGGCUCAUUUAUUGUAAGUUUGACUUUAAAAAAUAUGAGUUCUGCAGUGAAAGGAUCCGAUUUGGCCUGCCAUCCCUAGCAAUUUGAGUCACGGUGGAGGGGCGAUGAGAAAGAAUGUAUAUUUCAAUUCACAAGUUGCCUCCACUGGCCCAGACGUAACCCAGCGGAGCAUAAUUGAAAUGUUGCUACCUUAACAAUAGGAAGUUGCUACUCACAAGAGUAGGAUGUUUGCUCGCAUUCCCCACCGAAUCUCCCAGAGGUGCUACAUCACCGGCCUUUGAGUUCCUUUUCUCCUGCUUGUUGGGAAGAGAGCGUGAGGACUGGCUGUUUGCAGAGCAGGUGCAUUCACUGGAUUUCAUUUAGUCUCACGCGCCCCCUGCUGCCUAAAUCACAAACUGAGCCAGAGCUGGGUCAGUUUGAUGUGUGUUUGGGGUUAUAGGGAGUUUUCGGUUUGUGAUUCAUCUUGUGAUUCGGUUUGUGAUUCAUGGCUUAGGGGAUUUUUUAUCGUUCCGGAGUCUGCGCGUUCAUAGAAUUUACUCAACACAACUAGAUCAUUGGUCUCUCUAGUCCUGCAUCCUGCCUUUACCAGUGGCCAGUAUGUGAUACUUCUGAGAAAGGCAAUCCCCAUCGUCAAUUUGAUGCAUGUGGCCAGUGAGUUAGUUCCUUCCUGACUCCUGCAGUAAUCACUUUGUGCCCAGGUGCAUGAGAGUUGAUGAGCUAUGUCUAACAUGUAUAAUAUAACUACCAGUGUUAUUGUUGCUCACCAGCUAGCCAGCCCUUCUAACCUCCAGUAACACCAUCAGGGUGAGUUCUAUAGCAUGACUACAUGCUGGGGGAGACAUAUUUCCUUUAGUUUGUUUCAUUUUAAUCAGCCACUAACUUCAUAGACUGACACCUUGUAGAACUGCAGAGUGUCAAAUAGCCAUCAAUUCUUUGCCUUAGAGAGCACCUUCUGUCAGCAGAUUGAAAAGUGCACAGGAGCUACUUCCAAACAAGGAAAAUUUCCGACUCCCACUGAUUUCCGGGAGUUCUGUUUGACCACGGACCACAGCGUUUGGCCCAGCUAGAGCAGUGCAAGUGGAUCUAAGCAAUGUCAGGAAUCCUAGGCAUGUUGUCUCCCCUGCCACUAUGAUUCCAUGCACUGCACCACUCAUCUCAGAUUCCAAAUGCUGACAUGAUGUGAAUUACACACAUUGCCAUAAUACAUUCUGCCCCUUGGUAUGUCAGUUACACCUACCUACACCAGUGUAUAAUUUACAAGCCCAAUUACCUGGCCAUGAAUUGGUGCCAAGGACCUUUUAAUUAGACUUAAAUUGCCAUUUACUGAGUUGCUGGUGAAGCAAGGAAAGUUUCUCAUCAGCCCUUUUUUAGAUCCCCCAUUAUUCCAUAGGGCCAGCAAUCACACCAAGAUAUUGGUAUGCAAACUCAAUGGAAAUUGCAUCUCCUGGGAUGAAUGGGUCUGAAAAGCUUUUUAAAAUACCAGGGCUCCCUUUUCUCCUCUCAGGGAUGUUUCUGAAGCACAGUGCAGGUGAAGAUGUGGUAUAGUCCAUGCAGCCAUGCUCAGCCUUCUCCUUGCAUCACAGGAAAUGAAACAGGAGCCAACUAUAUCCGGAGAAUCGUCUUUAACCCUCAAACAAUUGGUGCUGGAAUCACACUCUUCCCCUUGCAGCCAAAUCCAGGAGGGACAUUUAGUGACAGCGGGAGGCAGUGUUGUGUGAGUUGACUGAUCCCAGCCCUGUAUGCUGGCAGCAUCGUCUCCCAGCCCUAUAAUUGAAAAGGCUGUGGACCCCUCAUUGCUGAUCAGUGUGGCUUUAGCUCUGAGCUGACCCUGUUACAACUUGGUGUGGUGUCAAACACACAGCAAAGGCAGAAUUAGUUCUGCUACUGUGCCAUGAACCCUAAUGGGCAUCAAGGAAUGAAGCUGUCAGGCUUUUGGCCUUAUAUUUUCAAAGCAAAGUUGGCGCCGGCUAUAAAGCCCCACAGCCCCAGGGGGCAUGCCCACCUGCCCCAAGGGAACAUGCCCAUCAAAGCUAGGCAGUCUUUGAUCUCACCAACCUGUUGUUCUCCUUGCUGCUUUCCCCUACCCCCUUCUUCAAACCCUCGUACUAGCCAAAAUGCCAGCUGAACAAUGAGCCCUGUUAGAGGCCCCUAGGAAGAAAUCCACCCAGAGAUCCCAAGCAUGACAGCAGGGGAAGCCCCAGGAAAGGCCAGCUCCCCUCUGUGUACUACCAGCACCAGUCACGUACAGAGUCACGCAUGAUCUGGCAUGCCCUGCUCUUGUGGCUGAGGUUGUGACCCUGCCUCCUCUCACUUGCAGUGCAGCUGUCACUUGAAGUAUAUAUCUACACUGAGCCUGGGCUCUGACUCAGGUCUCUGCCCAGCCCCCCUCCCAGCCACACACAAAUCAGCCUAAGUCAGCUCAGCAAGCAUUCAGGGCCUUGCUAGGGGGAUGGGUCAGAGCCUGAGUCCCACUGUGACCCAGGUCCAAGCCCUCUCAGUUUACAGUGUGGACGCAGCUCAAGCCACAAACCCGAAUCAGAAGGUCUGCCCAGCCCAGCAUGACUGCGUUAGCACAGCUGUGAAUCCCGGGUCCAGCACCUGUAAGCCCAGGUUCACAAUGCAGUGUUGAUGCUCAGGUGGGGGCUUGGAAACACCCAGUCCACAAGCCCAGGUCCUGCAGACCUGGGUUUACAAUGCAGCACAGAAGUACCCUAUGAGCCUAUGCAGCAUGCUCCAGGAGGAGACCCCGGCAUAGGUCUGGCGCUUCUGAGAGCUAGCGCAGCUGGAAGUAGCCCUGGCUUUGGUCCCCUCCAUCAGCUCCAUCUUGGGGGAGAUUUACCAGCUACCUGAGCGGAGGAGGGGCAUUAUCUUUUCUACUUUAUACAGGUGGAGAGAGAAGGCAUUGCCAAUGCAACAUCAGGAAGCCGAGGCAGCUCUUUCUCAUCUGCCCAUAUUGGAGGCAAGAGGGAACACUGGCUGUUAUUUAUCCUUUUCUACGGGGGAGGUCCUGGACUGAGCUCUGAGAGGAAGGAGUAGCCAUGGGGUGGGACACUGACUGUUGCACUGAUGCUCGUUGGAAAGAAGCCAGGAAUGCUUAGCUCUUCUCUAGCCUGCUCCACUCAGAAAGCCUGAGUGCUGGACAUAGGAGGCCAUUGUCAUUAUUUGAAGGUAACAGACUUCAGACAUCUAAAAAGCUGUUCUAAAGAAGAUGCUGAUCGAUUGUUCUCCAGGGCCACUGAAGGCAGGACAAGAGUUACGAAGGAUGGUGUUGGAAAGGGAUUAGUCCAAUCUCUGAAUUUCCUGCCUUUGAUGGCUCUGUAGCCUCCAGGAUCACCUCCCUCAUGGGUUAAUUUCCCAGUGCAACACAAAGAGCUUCAUGAAUAAACCACCAGGGUUGCUAAUGGCAAAACCUCACACCUACACAUUCUAAUUGGUCUGGAAGGGAGAGAAGGAGAAAAGAUGGGUCAGCGUAAUUGGUGCCUUCCAGACAGUGUGAGCCGGGAAUCAAGGACUUGGCUGGCAGGAGGUUCCGCAGUGAGCCAGAACUAGGCUGUACAGACCUGACAGCAGCGAAAGAGGCUGAAUCAGUCACUUGACUCUGGCCCAGCCAUUGUCACACCAGGCGGGAAGAAAUGGGAAAGGAGAAGGAAUGUAUCCCUUACACUUUCCCCUUCUACAGAGAAUAUCAGGGGGUGAGAUUCUGGUGCAAUCCUGGAGUCGCUCCACUGAGUUCAUGGAAAUUAUUCAGGGGUUCUCUGGGUCAUGGAGAUCAGACCUUGAUCCAGAGCUAGGGAACCUCUGCAUUACAUAGAUAACAUUGUCCCAGUGAAGAGCUCUAAUAAGCAGUAAAAUUCGCACCCAUCCACCCCUGCAAUCUCAGCCGUAAGGUCCAAUUGCAUGGAGUGGGGGUAUAAAAAUGUCUGGGGGGGGGUUAGGAGCACAGCUCCCACUGAAAGCCAUCAUGAUUCUUGUCUUAAAGACCUCAGAUGCCUUUAAACUCAUCCUGUCUUGUUGUGAGUAUUAGGGCCAGGGCCACACUGUACUAGGCAAGGUACAGGCAUGGACCCUGCCAUGGACCCUGCCCCAAAGAACUUAGACUCUAGGGGUACAUCUCCACUGCAUUAUAAAUCCAGGUCUGUGGACCCGGGCUGUGGACUCAGUGGUUCUAAGCCCGUGCCUGAGCAUCCACACCGUGUUGUAAACCUGGGUUUCCAGAUGCUGGGCUUAGGUUUCACAGCCGUACUAAUGUGUCUGUACUGUGCUAUGCAGACUGUCUGACUCAGGGCUGCAGCUUGAGCUGCGUCCACAUGCAAAAUGACAGGGCUUGGACCUGAUUCACAGCAGGACUUGGGCUCUGACCCACCCCCUAGCAGGGUCUUAGGACCCAGGUCUUGCAUGCUUGCCAAGCUGAACCAGAUUGAUUUGUGUGUGGACGGAAGCAGGGCUUCGGCUCAAACCUGAGUCAGAGCCUGGACUUAGUGUGUAGUGUAGACAUACCCGGCCUAAGUUAUCCCAACUGCUGAAACCAGUCUGAUCCCCAGCCACAAAGACAACCUCCGAACCCCUCCUCCACGCAGUCAAACCCCUUCCUCCACUCCCCACCAAAGCAACCAUCUCCUGAGGCUAUUGCUUGGGCAUGUCACGCUGCCCUGAUCAGUGUCCUGUGGGGGGCAGUUAGCCAGGAGCCACCCAGCCCCUGUGUGUCAAACCCCAAAGUCGCUGCAUGGAUCUGAAUGAGCCUGUCACACCAAAUGUGCCCUCUCCAUAGCCAGGCACAUUGUAACCUGGCCCGGUGUCACCAGGUGCUGCCUUUUCCCUGCCAGCUCAUCCCCGCCUGAAACAGAACUGGCCCAUGGGCAGUGUGUGAGCUUCCCCUUGCACUCUCCUGCCAAACUGAUGGCUGCACUACCACCAUGUGGCUGGUUUUUUCAUUACACCCAGUCGAAACUACAGCAGCUUUAUGUUUGAUUUCAAGCAAUAUGUCUCCCUCCCAGAGUCCCAGCCAGCGUGUUUUAGAUUUUAGCAGCAGUGAGCCCAUAGCUUGGUGCCUCUACCAAUGGGCUCUUCAAUCUAGGAGUGAAAGGUAUAACACCAUGCAACAGAUGGCAGCUGAAGCUAGACAAAUUCAGAUCGGUAAAUUUUUUCCAGUGAAUGUAAUUAACCAUUGGAACAAUUUACUAAGGGGCAUGGUGGAUUCUCACUCACUAACAAUUUUCCAGCCAAGAUUGGAUGGUUUUCUAAAAGAUCUGCUCUAGGAAUUGUUUGGGAGCAGUUCUCUGGCUGUGUUAUACAGGAAGUCAGACUAGCUGAUGGCAAUGGUCCCGGCUGGCCUUAGAACCUAUGAAUCUACGGUCACUCCCUUUUUGUUUUUUAUGUGCAAGAGAGAAAAAGAGGAUGCAUAUGCAUAUGCUCCCAUGCCUCACCUUCCUCUUUCCAAUCAACCAUGCUUGCCAGCCCCAUGAAUUCCCAGAGAGCAAGAAGGAGCCUCCCUGGGUUUGAAGGUGCCUCUUGAAUUUCACAUUUGAUCUAUUCAACGCUUUAUUUUAGCGGUGCCCAAAGUGUGGUUCUUUGCAGACCAUGGAAUUUGGUUUUAUCUGUAAAGUUUUCCCCUCUCCUUCCCCCCUGACCCCCCCAACCGCACGUGGUCAAGGUCGUGUGCAAAACACAGAUCUAGAUUUCCAGGAUGGUGUAUACAAAAAUUAUGCAUGCAUUUCCACACUUGAUCUGCAAGCACCAUUAGCACAAUUGCACAUGGGAAUUGCAAUAACUACACAAACAACUGGCCUGCCAGAUGUCUUCCUGGUCAUUUACAUGUGCAUUUAAUGCAAUGGCAUGCCCCAGCACAGUCACUGCGUGUGUAAAUUAGGCUCCCAAUGCAUGCAUAACUACAUGUGUAACUCUGUAAACCUUGGCCAAAAAAAAUACAAAACUGUAAUUAAAACUAUUAUGAAGUACAAUAAAAUAUUUGCUUUU
Chelonia mydas (Green sea turtle) is the source of this 9368-nucleotide long non-coding RNA. RefSeq lists it as uncharacterized. The transcript is spliced from 3 exons. The record is from RefSeq and is a predicted model, not a curated record. NCBI's taxonomy places the organism in Eukaryota, Metazoa, Chordata, Testudines, Cheloniidae.